RNAcentral lists this unclassified non-coding RNA (84 nucleotides) under Epilithonimonas lactis. Its description in RNAcentral is "Chryseobacterium halperniae Flavo-1 RNA". Lineage: Bacteria; Pseudomonadati; Bacteroidota; Flavobacteriia; Flavobacteriales; Weeksellaceae. The record is from RNAcentral.
CCGCAGCCCGGCCUGAGUGGAAAUCCUUUUUUGCAGUGGGGAAAAGCUUUGGCAAAAAGAUUGGGAACGGAGGACGGAUAAAGC